AACGAACGCUGGCGGCAGGCUUAACACAUGCAAGUCGAGCGCCCCGCCAGGGGAGCGGCGGGCUGGUGAGUAACGCGUGGGAACGUACCUUUUUGUUCAGAACAACUCCGGGAAACUGGUGCUAAUACCGGAUAAGCCCUAACGGCGGAAGGGUUAUCGCCGAAAGAUCGGGCCGCGUCUGAUUAGCUGGUUGGUGGGGUAACGCCUCAGCAAGGCGACGAGCAGUGGCUGGUCUGAGAGGAGGAUCAGCCACACUGGGGCUGAGACCCGGCCCAGACUGCUACGGGAGGGAGGAGUGGAGAAUAUUGGACAAGGGGCGCAAGUCUGACACAGCCAUGCCGCGGGAGUGAUGAAGGCCUUAGGGUUGUAAAGCUCUUUUGUCCGGGAAGAUAAUGACUGUACCGGAAGAAUAAGCCCCGGCUAACUUCGUG
Molecule: ribosomal RNA, 431 nt
Filed under: uncultured bacterium
Lineage: Bacteria
Description: partial 16S ribosomal RNA
Rfam family: Bacterial small subunit ribosomal RNA
Source: RNAcentral